This 468-nucleotide ribosomal RNA is filed under the name uncultured bacterium. RNAcentral's name for it is "partial 16S ribosomal RNA". It matches the Rfam family "Bacterial small subunit ribosomal RNA", at positions 28 to 507 of the family's 1533-position model. The record is from RNAcentral.
GAUGAACGCUGGCCGCGUGCUUAACACAUGCAAGUCGAACGGUGAAGGCGGAGCUUGCUCUGCUGGAUCAGUGGCGAACGGGUGAGUAACACGUGAGCAAUCUGCCCCUGACUCUGGGAUAAACGCUGGAAACGGCGUCUAAUACUGGAUACGAGCUGCGACGGCAUCUUCAGCAGCUGGAAAUAACUUCGGUCAGGGAUGGGCUCGCGGCCUAUCAGCGUGUUGGUGAGGUAACGGCUCACCAAGGAGUCGACGGGUAGCCGGCCUGAGAGGGUGACCGGACAAACCGGGAAUGAGGACAUGCCCAGAAUGGUCCGGGAGGAAGCAGUGGGGAAUAUUGACAGAUGGGAGAAAAAGUGAUGCAGCAACGGCGAGUGCGGGACAAUGGCCGUAGGGUUGUCACACCCUUUUAGCAGGGAAGAAGCGACAGGGAAGGGAGGUGCAGGAAAAGCGCCAGGUAGGUACGUG